This 460-nucleotide ribosomal RNA is filed under the name uncultured bacterium. RNAcentral describes it as "partial 16S ribosomal RNA". It matches the Rfam family "Bacterial small subunit ribosomal RNA", at positions 338 to 795 of the family's 1533-position model. The record is from RNAcentral.
CCUACGGGUGGCAGCAGUGAGGAAUAUUGGUCAAUGGCCGGAAGGCUGAACCAGCCAAGUAGCGUGAGGGAAGACUGCCCUAUGGGUUGUAAACCGCUUUUAUGCGGGGAUAACGGUGUCCACGUGUGGAUGUUUGCAGGUACCGCAUGAAUAAGGACCGGCUAAUUCCGUGCCAGCAGCCGCGGUAAUACGGAAGGUCCGGGCGUUAUCCGGAUUUAUUGGGUUUAAAGGGAGCGUAGGCCGGUCUUCAAGCGUGCCGUGAAAUGUUUGGGCUCAACCAUGGGCGUGCGGCGCGAACUGGAGAGCUUGAGUGCGCGGAAGGCAGGCGGAAUUCGUGGUGUAGCGGUGAAAUGCUUAGAUAUCACGAAGAACCCCGAUUGCGAAGGCAGCUUGCUGCAGCGGUACUGACGCUGAAGCUCGAAAGCGCGGGUAUCGAACAGGAUUAGAUACCCUUGUAGUC